This 465-nucleotide ribosomal RNA is filed under the name uncultured bacterium. RNAcentral's name for it is "partial 16S ribosomal RNA". It matches the Rfam family "Bacterial small subunit ribosomal RNA", at positions 28 to 507 of the family's 1533-position model. The record is from RNAcentral.
GACGAACGCUGGCGGCGUGCUUAACACAUGCAAGUCGAACGGAAAGGCCCUGCUUGCCGGGUACUCGAGUGGCGAACGGGUGAGUAACACGUGGGUGAUCUGCCCUGCACUUCGGGAUAAGCCUGUGAAACUGGGUCUAAUACCGGCUAGGAGCCAUUUUUAGUGUGAUGGUUGGAAAGUUUUUUCGGUGUAGGAUGAGCUCGCGGCCUAUCAGCUUGUUGGUGGGGUAAUGGCCUACCAAGGCGGCGACGGGUAGCCGGCCUGAGAGGGUGGACGGCCACAUUGGGACUGAGGUACGGCCCAGACUCCUACGGGAGGCAGCAGGGGGGAAGAUUGCACAAUCGGCGCAAGCCGGAUGCAGCGACGCCGCGUGGGGGAUGACGGCCUUCGGGUUGUAAACUCCUUUCGCUAGGGACGAAGCUUUUUGUGACGGUACCUAGAUAAGAAGCACCGGCUAACUACGUG